AAAUUGAAGAGUUUGAUCAUGGCUCAGAUUGAACGCUGGCGGCAGGCCUAACACAUGCAAGUCGAACGGUAACAGGAAGAAGCUUGCUUCUUUGCUGACGAGUGGCGGACGGGUGAGUAAUGUCUGGGAAACUGCCUGAUGGAGGGGGAUAACUACUGGAAACGGUAGCUAAUACCGCAUAACGUCGCAAGACCAAAGAGGGGGAUCUUCGGGCCUCUUGCCAUCGGAUGUGCCCAGAUGGGAUUAGCUAGUAGGUGGGGUAA
RNAcentral lists this ribosomal RNA (263 nucleotides) under Escherichia coli. Its description in RNAcentral is "partial 16S ribosomal RNA". It matches the Rfam family "Bacterial small subunit ribosomal RNA", at positions 1 to 260 of the family's 1533-position model. Lineage: Bacteria; Pseudomonadati; Pseudomonadota; Gammaproteobacteria; Enterobacterales; Enterobacteriaceae. The record is from RNAcentral.